AUAAUAAUACAGGACUCUUUCCAGGCCCUGUAAUUGUAAUGAGUCCACUUUAAAUCCUUUAACUAGGAUCAAUUGGAGGGCAAGUCUGGUGCAGAGCGACUGACCCGUGCGUGCUGCAGUUGAAACUCCACUAUUGCCUGCUGCUG
Molecule: ribosomal RNA, 146 nt
Filed under: Pelobates cultripes (western spadefoot toad)
Lineage: Eukaryota; Metazoa; Chordata; Amphibia; Anura; Pelobatidae
Description: SSU_rRNA_eukarya
Source: RNAcentral